Piliocolobus tephrosceles (Ugandan red Colobus) is the source of this 2922-nucleotide RNA transcript. It is a transcript of the gene named zinc finger protein 764, with no coding region annotated. The record is from RefSeq and is a predicted model, not a curated record. NCBI's taxonomy places the organism in Eukaryota, Metazoa, Chordata, Mammalia, Primates, Cercopithecidae. The transcript is spliced from 5 exons.
CGUAGGGGCAAAGGUCGAGUACUCGCACCGCCGCCAUUUUUUAUGCGGGCAUAUUCCAUUCGUGAUUAUACACCCGCUGUCAUCGGCACCGUUAGUUUCCAUGCUCUCUAGUGCGCCCUCGGGGGCCCUAGUGACCUUGCUCCUUCCCUUGGGCCUGGCCGGGUAGGCUUUCUCGGACGCAGGAGGUUCCGCAGGCCCAGGCCAGGCCAAGGGGAGGCAGCCGAUCCGUAGUCGGGGUUGACAGUCACCAUGGCGCUGCCUCUAACCCCGCUCCCUCCCCCGGACCCAAACGGGGCGGGACCCGAGUGGAGGGAGCCCGGGGUUGUGAGCUUCGCGGACGUGGCCGUGUACUUCUGCCGAGAGGAGUGGGGCUGCUUGCGACCCGCGCAGAGGGCCCUGUACCGGGACGUGAUGCGGGAGACCUACGGCCACCUGAGCGCGCUCGGAAUCGGAGGCAACAAGCCAGCUCUCAUCUCCUGGGUGGAGGAGGAGGCCGAACUGUGGGGCCCGGCUGCCCGGGAUCCGGAGGUGACGAAGUGCCCGACAGAAACAGACUCAGCAGAUUCCAGAAACGAGGAAGAGGAAAGACAAAGGGAAGGGACGGGAGCCCUGGAGAAGCCUGUUCCUGUGGCCACUGGGUCUCCUGGGCUGAAGGCUCCCCAAGCCCCCUUGGCCGGGCCCCCUUAUGGUUGGGAGCAGCCGUCCAAGGCACCGCACCGAGGACGCCCCUCGCUCUGUGCCCACCCCCCUGUCCCCCGAGCGGACCAGCGUCACGGCUGCUACGUGUGUGGGAAGAGCUUCGCCUGGCGCUCCACGCUGGUGGAGCACGUCUACAGCCACACGGGCGAGAAGCCCUUCCACUGCACUGACUGCGGCAAGGGUUUCGGCCACGCUUCCUCCCUGAGCAAACACCGGGCCAUCCAUCGCGGGGAGCGGCCCCACCGCUGUCCCGAGUGUGGCCGGGCCUUCACGCAGCGCUCCGCACUGACUUCGCACCUGCGCGUCCACACCGGUGAGAAGCCCUAUGGCUGCGCGGACUGUGGCCGCUGCUUCAGCCAGAGCUCUGCCCUCUACCAGCACCGGCGUGUGCACAGCGGCGAGACCCCCUUCCCCUGCCCGGACUGCGGCCGCGCCUUCGCCUACCCCUCGGAUCUACGGCGCCACGUGCGCACCCACACCGGCGAGAAGCCCUACACGUGCCCGGACUGCGGGCGCUGCUUCCGCCAGAGCUCAGAGAUGGCAGCCCACAGGCGCACCCACAGCGGCGAGAAGCCCUACCCCUGCCCGCAGUGUGGCCGCCGCUUCGGCCAGAAAUCAGCCGUGGCCAAGCACCAGUGGGUCCAUAGGCCCGGGGCCAGGGGCCACAGGGGCCGGGUCACUGGGGGUCUGUCUGUGACCCUGACCCCUGGCCGUGGAGAUCUGGAACCGCCCGUGGGCUUCCAGCUGUACCCGGAAAUAUUCCAGGAGUGUGGGUGACUGCCUUAAAAGUGACUAUCUAGACAUUACAGAAGCCCGAGAUGGGCUCAGGGGCCUGAACCUCUGCGGCUGCCUGCAGGGAGGUCCCAGAAUCUACGACAAGACCUGGCCCUGGGGUGCGGACAGUCUGAUCUUGGACCCUCAGCAGCCUCCUCUGCCAGCACCUUGCUCUCAACUACCCAGGGGUCUCGAGGGCCCCCUUUACUGAGGCAGGGCUGAGUGCUGCUGGGUUAGGGUCUCCCCAACCGAGCUGGUCUCGGCAAGUGGCGUCCAUCGUGGGGGCUCGAAUCCAGGUGAAGGGUCGCUGGAGCAACGGUUGGAACAGAAAACCAGCUGGAGGACACCCGAGUACUCUUAAAGCAAUCCCCCUGUCUGCAGAUGUGGAUCCCGACUCCUGCUAGAAGUAGCUCACCGUGACAAAGCUGCCCUUGCUUUUAUCAUUUGCAAAUCAGAGAAGGGGGACAUGUUGAGAAGAAGCCCCCAAAAUCUGGCCGUGAACUGGCCCCAAGACUGGCCAUAAACAGAAUCUCUGCAGCACUGUAACAUGUUCAUAAUGGCCCUAACACCUGUGCUGGAAGGUUGUGGGUACCGGAAUGAGGGCAAGGAACACCCGGCCUGCCCAGGACAGAAAACCACUUAAAGGCAUUCUGAAACCACAAACAAUAGCGUGAGCAAUCUGUGCCUUAAGGCCAUGUUCCUGCUGCAGUUAACUAGCCCAACCUAUUCCUUUAAUUUAGCCCUUCCCUUCGUUUCCCAUAGGGAUAUUUUUAGUUAAUUUAAUAUCUAUAGAAACAAUGCUAACGACUGGUUUGCUGUUAAUAAAUAUGUGGAUACAUCUCUGUUUGGGGCUCUCAGCUCUGAAGGCUGUGAGACCCCUGAUUUCCCACUUCUCACCUCUAUAUUUCUGUGUAUGCAUCUUUAAUUCCUCUAGCAGUGCUGGGCUAGGGUCUCCCCAACUGAGCUGGUCUGGGCAAUUUUUUAGUAGAGGCGGGAUUUCUCCAUGUUGGUCAGGCUGGUCUCAAAAUCCCGACCUCAGGUGAUCCGCCCUGAGCCUCAGCCUCCCAAAGUGCUGGGAUUACAGGUGUGAGCCACCGUGCCCAGCCAGCUCCUUGUUUCUUGGCACAGAUAUUUCCUCCAGAGGUAGGACCUCCUUUUCUCUCUGCUACCCCAGGUGUUUGAGGGUCAGCCCUAGAGGCAACUGAAGCCAGGAAGGGGCUUUCCUAGACUUCACUGUGCAUUGGGGAUAUGCUUGUCUGCAUCAACAGAAUAAGCCACAUCCAAGUGGCCAGCCAGAGUGAGAAGUAAAGGCCAUGGUCACAUGCCCAUCCCUCUUCUGUACAGGCCAUUUAAGGGUAGGAGACUGGGCACAGUCGCUCACGCCUGUAAUCCCAGCACUUUGGGAGGCCAAGGCAGGUGGAUCACCUGAGGUCAGGAGUUCAAGACCAG